CACAGUAACUGUUUGAAUCUACUCAUUUCUAGCUGACAGUUGGAGCUGGAAGAAGGUAUUACAUGGCUUCCUUGAGUUUUUCAUUUCCUUGUUCCUAAAUAUUUAAAAUAUAUAUAUUUAGAUUUAGUUUUUAGAGUUAGAACUAAGUUGCUUUUUGUUUUUUUGUUGUGUGGAUAUAAAUUAAAUGGCUUAUCAGUUUAAUUUAGAUAGGGUGCUGAGGCUGAAUAGUCUUCCAAAAUCUGAUUCCAAAUAUUCAAAAAUCUUAAUACUUGAUACUUUAGAGAGGGCAUUUUAGGUAGCACCAUUCCUUUACCAUAGGAGCAAAACCCUUUAUUAGGUAAGGGCUCAUCCACACUUUGCUUGCCUGUGUGUACAAAGCACAGGUCUGAGAGGUUUUCUGCUUGUCCCAGGUUUUCUAGGCAGGGGUCUGAGCAGUUUUUCCCAGCUGAUGUUUGCUCCAAUUCAGCAGUAAAGAGUUGAAUCUCAGGGGAAAGCAGCAGGGUAAACAGAAGUGUGAAGAGCCCUGAGAGAUCAGAUCUAAUGAUAACUAAUGUAUUUUUUUGUUUUGUUUUAAUGGUAUAUAUAAAUGCUAGUCUGGAGAAAAACAAGGACAGGCCAAUAUAUUGAUAUAUCAUCCCAAACCAGUUUGAAGUCUGUAUUAUGAUAUCAGUUGCAUAAUUUUUGACCUGGCGGUAUAUCACGAAUCAUGAUGUGUAUUAGGGCUGAGCAAUGUCUGGCUUUGAGAGCCAGGGUGGUGUAGUGGUUAAGAACGGUAGUCUUGUAAUCUGGUGAACCGGGUUCACGUCUCCGCUCCUCCACUUGCAGCUGCUGGGUGAACUUGGGCUGGUCACACUUCUCAGAAGUCUCUCAGUCCCACUCACCUCACAGAGUAUUUGUUGUGGAGGAGGAAGGGAAACGAGAAUGUUAGCCGCUUUGAGACUCCUUCGGGUAGCGAUAAAGCGGGAUAUCAAAUCCAAACUCUUCUUCUUCUUCUUCUUCUUUCAACAUUGUGAUAUAUCACCAGCUAAACAUCACCAAUAUACAGUGGAACCUUGGUUCUCAAACUUAAUCUGUUUCGGUCGUCUGUUCGACUCCCGAAACCAUUCGAAAACCACGGCGCGGCUUCUGAUUGGGUGCAGGAGCUUCCUUCACUCAAGUGGAAGCCAUGUCGGACGUUCGGCUUCCGAAAACGUUCACAAACCAGAAUACUUACUUCCAGGUUUGCGGCGUUCGGGAGCCGAUUUGUUCAACAACUAAGCCAUUUGAGAACCAAGGUACCACUGUAUUAUGUUAUCUAAAAUAAAGAUGUAACUGUGUAAACAGGGUAAUGUCCUGGAAACUGCUACUACUUAGGGGUCUAAAACCGAUAUGUUUUAACUUACCUUUAACAUAUUGUUACAACUGCCAUUUUAUAGUACAGAGAAACAGGGACAGAAGGAAUCAUGAGACGCAAUAACUGGCUUCACGGUUUUUCCCACAUUGCGAAUUUUUACAUAGCACACGCACACACUGUGAUUCACGAUAUAUCACCAUGUUGAAUAUUAUGAAACAGUGACCACAAUGUGGACUACAAACUGAUUUCUAACAAUGUACUGAUACGUUGCUAUCCCUAGUGUGAGUGUGUGUACUUCCUACGCAAAAAUCACAAUGUGGGGAAAACUGUGAAGCCAGCCAGUGCCUCUACAUAGCUCCAUCCGUAUUUCAGACAUCAUGAUAUAUCGGGAUAUCACGAUAUUUAGCUGGUGAUACAUUAUGAUGCAUAAUAAUAAUUUAUUGGUACUCUGCCCAUCUGACUGGGUUGCCCCAGCCACUCUGGGCAGCUUCCAGCCAGAUAUCACCCAGUUCUAGGGAAAACCACCCCCCCAAAAUUUGGGCAGCCUAUUAAGUUUUUAAAGAACCAUCAGCUGGUUGACUAUGGCUAGUUAGUACAGGCAGAAAAAAAAUAGAAGGAAAUUUGUCUUUCUGAAACAAUUUGUUUUUAACAGUUACAGUGGUACCUCGGUUUUUGAACGUAAUCCGUACUGGAAGACCAUUCAAGUUCUGAAACGUUCGAAAACCAAAAACUCAUGGCCGAAAUAUUGGGAAAUUUUGGAACAAGACGGAGAUAGAUUGAAAUUGCAGAGUUUUGAAAAACUAAAAAACAAAGUGCGAGACUGGCUUCAUUAUUAUCAGAUAAUGGAAGUAUUUAAAUUGGACAGGAAAAUUGGCUUCCAGGUGGAAAGAUCCAAAUUAGAAACAGAAUUGUUAGAACCCAAGACUAAGAAUUUGUCAAGAAUGUAUAACUUGCUGCUGAAAUGGAAUACUCAGGAUGAAACGGUAAAAUCGGCUAUGAUUAAAUGGGCACAGGACGUUGGACAUAACAUUAUGUUUGCUGACUGGGAACAGUUAUGGACCACAGGUAUGAA
This is a non-coding RNA of Podarcis lilfordi (Lilford's wall lizard), 2405 nucleotides long. NCBI's taxonomy places the organism in Eukaryota, Metazoa, Chordata, Lepidosauria, Squamata, Lacertidae. The record is from the annotation of a GenBank genome assembly.